CUGGACAUGGGCACCUCUGGUUGCAGAUUUCCCCAGGCAGGAUGGAGGUUGUCCCAGGAGGGCUGCAGCCACGUGUCCCUGUGCAAGCGCAUUUUAAUGUGAAAACCUGGGUGUUUUACUGUGAAAACCUUGGCGUCGAGUGCCACGGAUGGAGCCCCAGAGGUCCAGGAUGGCCCCGUGUCCCCACCCUCUGUUCCUCCUCCCCAACCCCAGCACUUCCCUGCCUCUGGCUAUCGAUCGGGGCCCCCCGGCGACUGCACACGGGGGACUUCAACUCUUGUCCUCUGCCACCGAGGAGAUCUUUAAGCCAGUAAUAACGUGAGACAGAGGGAAAUGAACAGC
This is a long non-coding RNA of Calypte anna (Anna's hummingbird), 342 nucleotides long. RefSeq lists it as uncharacterized. The record is from RefSeq and is a predicted model, not a curated record. NCBI's taxonomy places the organism in Eukaryota, Metazoa, Chordata, Aves, Apodiformes, Trochilidae. The transcript has 3 exons.